CCGGGCAUUGCCUCAGUAACGGCGAGUGAAGCGGCAACAGCUCAAAUUUGAAAUCUGGCCCUAGGCCCGAGUUGUAAUUUGCAGAGGAUGCUUUUGGUGCGGUGCCUUCCAAGUUCCCUAGAACGGGACGCCAGAGAGGGUGAGAGCCCCGUACAGUUGGACACCAAGCCUUUGUAAAGCUCCUUCGACGAGUCGAGUAGUUUGGGAAUGCUGCUCAAAAUGGGAGGUAUAUUUCUUCUAAAGCUAAAUACCGGCCAGAGACCGAUAGCGCACAAGUAGAGUGAUCGAAAGAUGAAAAGCACUUUGAAAAGAGGGUUAAACAGCACGUGAAAUUGUUAAAAGGGAAGCGCUUGUGACCAGACUUGCGUCCGGUGAAUCACCCAGCUCUCGCGGCUGGGGCACUUCGCCGGCUCAGGCCAGCAUCAGCUCGCUGUCGGGGACAAAAGCUUCAGGAACGUAGCUCUCUUCGGGGAGUGUUAUAGCCUGUUGCAUAAUACCCUUCGGCGGGCUGAGGUACGCGCUCCGCAAGGAUGCUGGCAUAAUGGUCAUCAGCGACCCGUCUUAAAACAC
This 570-nucleotide ribosomal RNA is filed under the name Colletotrichum gloeosporioides. RNAcentral's name for it is "eukaryotic LSU rRNA". It matches the Rfam family "Eukaryotic large subunit ribosomal RNA", at positions 68 to 662 of the family's 3401-position model. The record is from RNAcentral. Lineage: Eukaryota; Fungi; Ascomycota; Sordariomycetes; Glomerellales; Glomerellaceae.